UACAGAGGGUGCAAGCGUUGUUCGGAAUUACUGGGCGUAAAGGGCGCGUAGGCGGCCGCCUAAGUCAGACGUGAAAUCCCUCGGCUCAACCGGGGAACUGCGUCUGAUACUGGGUGGCUUGAAUCCGGGAGAGGGAUGCGGAACUCCAGGUGUAGCGGUGAAAUGCGUAGAUAUCUGGAGGAACACCGGUGGCGAAGGCGGCAUCCUGGACCGGCAUUGACGCUGAGGCGCGAAAGCCAGGGGAGCAAACGGG
Molecule: ribosomal RNA, 253 nt
Filed under: uncultured bacterium
Lineage: Bacteria
Description: partial 16S ribosomal RNA
Rfam family: Bacterial small subunit ribosomal RNA
Source: RNAcentral